UGUUACGUUUUUAAAGCAUUUUAUGCGACAGGUGUGUGUAGCACUUGUUACACAUCUCAAUGGGAGAGCCAUAGUCGAGACCACACCUUUACCUGACGUACAACGUGACGUAUGGCGCACGCUUUCAAAACAACAAUGGCGGAUAGAAGAUAAUGCUCCUUUCGCUGGUUGCCAACCACCAUUAAAUAACAACAAGAAGAAAAUAUUGAUCUGCUUUUCUUAGUUGUGCACGUUUAAGACGCGAUUCAGACUCAAACAAAGCUGCAAAGCAGGAGAACAACAUGACCAUCAAUUAUUCUGUGCCACAGAUCCAGUUCGCUGCAGCACAGAUGAUGAGAUGGUGGAAGAACAAAAGAGACAAUUUACGGACCGUUAAGAUGUGCAACUUAGAAGCAGUCAGAGACUGACUGACAUGGGAAACAUUAAAGUUGAACUGGAACCAGCUAAUCAGUCUGAAGGAAUCACAGAACCAGAAGGGAGACCACUGAGGAGGAGUUCUGUAAGUUCACUGGUGACCUCAGCUGUCAAGUUCCUGGAUGUGGGGAUGGAAAUUGAAGAGGAACUCACAAGCCUCCUGCCGACACUAGACAGAGAGAAAAUAAUCUGCAUUGUACAACAUCUGACGGACGUUAUUGGUGUACAACAAAAAAGUGAUCUUUUGUUUGUGGAGGCGGAAGAUCUCAAACCCUUUCUCACACCAAUUCAAAUACGUAAACUACUUCUUGCAUUUAAAGGAGGUUUGUGUAGGUUCUGUACAACUCAUAGACUUGAGUCUAUGAUUUGAAGGUCACUCAUAGACUCAUAUGACACUGAUUAGCUUGAUUAGCUUUUUUUUUUUUUUUUUUUUUUCUUCACCAUACUACACAUGUACUUUGACAGUAUAAUAUUGAAGAGCGUUUUGGGGCUCACAUUGUCUGGUAGAUGAUUAACACGGAAAACAUAAACAAAAGUAGACACUAAAUCUAACACCAUUAACCUUUCAUUGGUAGUGGUACAACUGCUGCAAAUGUUUCAGUAAAACAUUUACAGAUUUUACUGAAAAGGGAGAAGGACUGGGUUGUGGACAUUAUUCACUACUAAGAAGCAUCAAAUCUAGAGUUGGACAUGUUAAUCGAGAUAAUACAACUCAUAGACUUUGUCAACCAAAGAGAACCAGGAAUGAGGAAGACUGCAGUCCCAACAGUAGUGCAACCCCACCUAAAAAAGUUAGAUGCCUUGUUGAUAGCUAUGGUUGUAUUAAUUGGCAGCCAGUUGAACUUCCUGAGGGGGAAACGCCAGCUUCUUUAGAGGAAAAGAAACACAUCUUGUUAACAAUUUUUUAAUUCAGAAGGACCUGGAGCUGUGGAGAGACCUGAUGUGAAUGACUUCAUGACUCACAUAUAUUUCUCAGCGACAGCUUAUCAACAGUUGUCCCUCACUUUCAGUAGCUGAAAUUCAGGAGCAGUGGCCAUUCUUGUUUACUCGGAAAGGUCUUUCAAACCACUUUCACAAACUCACAGGCAUCGAUAUCAGUGAGCGCUUAGGUCAGGCCCUCAUAACCAAAGGCAGAAGGAUUAUUAACUAUUUCUCCAGCCAGAAGCUCAAAUGGAACCUUGGUAUAAGGACACUCAUCCAGCAGAUAGAAAGUGAGGAAGUUUUGACCAACAACAAGGUUGGCACAGCGGCCAUACUUCUCAUGAUGAAGUACUACAAGGAAGAUGAAGACUCCCUCUUUGUCUUAGCAGAUGUAAGCUUUUUUCAUACAGCUCUAGGUUCAAUGCUGUUGCUUGCUGUCCGGUUUUGUUUUGGUUUUUUUGGGGGGUUUUUUGUUCUUGUUUUUGUUCUUUUGAUGUUUUUUUGUUACAUAAAAUGUCUUGGUCCUUUUUCUGGCUGGAAACAUCUACCAGGAUGUCCCUUGAAGCAGAGAGCAACCUGCCAAGCACCCCAAGGCUGAUUAUGCUUGGUAAGAAGUCAUUUAUGAAAUAGAGCUGAUUAGACCAUAUUAAAAUUUCUGUUUGGCACAGGAGCUUUUCGUGGACACAGGUAUCCAGUCUCUGUUUUGUUAGCUCAAAUUUCUGUAAUUUCCUUUAUAAACCAAGGUUGUUGGACAUGUGUCUCAGUGAAUCCAGCAAAGUAACAAUAUCAAGUUUCACAUUACAUAUUACUGAUCAACAUGGUAGUCUAGCUAUACACCAACAGCAGAAAUACUGAAGUCAAUACUGUAAAGUUUAACAGCAGCACAAACUCCAAAAUAACCAUACAGUUGAUUCAUCUCCGGUAAUUUAAUUGGGCUGACUCUUUGUUAGGUGUGUUUAAUGUGCAGAAUAAUUCCCAAUUAUGUACAAUCAUAAUAUGUUAAAACGGACUUAUGUACAUAAGGCCAUUAAUAAUUAACUGUACGUCGCUAUUUGCUUUAUGACUAUCUAGACAGUGUGAAGAAGUGAAGUAUUGAAAUUAUUUUAUGUUGCAUAAUGACAACAUGUUGCCCCUAUACAUUUACGGACAAAGUUUAAUGACCGCCACCUGCUGGAUGGUGAGUGCAGAGGGGCGUGUAAUUGUUGAGCUGGACAAAGAGAACACCUUUGCUGAUGCGAUGUCAGUCCUCUUUGGUUCAUUCUAUGUAUUGAACCUGGAAUACCAGGAGUCAGCGUGUGCAACAUUGGAAAUAAUUCAGAGGUAUGUUUGAACAGUUAGCUAAUAGUGAUAGAUGAUGAAUAAAUUAUCCCUAAGUAACUCAUUAUUUCAAAUCACAACUCACUGUUACUGUAUGUUACUAUUUAUUAUGGCAUGUUUUAAGGUUUUUUGUAAGGAUAAACCCUGAAGAGGGAACAAAAUGUACCUCCAAGGUUGGGACAAGCAGAAAGACUGGGACCACUGUGAAGCGAAAGGUUGUUCACAUUAACCCUCAUGUCACAACUUUCCUCCAGUGGCUUACUGAAUUUGAGUGAAAAACUUCAAAUUAGGUAACUGUUUUUGCCAUUUAUAGUGAAUUUCUUGUAUAAUUUAAGUGACCAAUGUGUUGUUACCUGUGUCUCCACAGAUGAUCCGUGGCCCAUGCUUUCUGGACAUUUACACAAGACGAACAACAAUGAAGACAAGCUCUCUUGCCAUCUUGCAAGAUGCUGUCUCUGUCCAAUAGGUUUUUUGAGUGCAACAGUUUUGAUUUUUUUUUUCCCUUCUUUUACCCGUUUGUUAAAAUUUAUUUCAGCUACUUACACUUUAGUUGUCACAUGUAUUGGCUCACCCUACAAAUCAAUGAACUCAGUCCACAAAGCAAGAUCAGGGUUCAGUGCAGGUCAGUCAAGUUCCUUCACACCACACACGCUCAUCCAUGUCCUUGUGGACCCUGCUUUGUACAUUGAUUAGGUGGUGUGAGCCAGUAUUUUGGAUAAAGUGUUUAUAAAGGCAGAAGUGUGGGGCUUGAUAUUAUAUUCAUUACAAUUCAGUUUAUUUGUAUGGUGCCAACAAAAUGAAUGCCAAGGCACUUCACAUUGUAGGUUUAAGACCCUACAAAAUAUAACUAAGAAAACCCAACACUUGAGCAUAUAUUGUCUGCCAUGAUAUGGAUAUGACAUAAUAUUGUUAUUGUUUGUACAACCAUCUGAGAAAAUAAUGGAUUACAUGGUUUAGUAAAAACAAAUGCUUCCUCAAUGAAAAUAUGUUUUCAGUUCUUUUCAGUUUUUGAUUUUGGAAAUGUGUAUUUCAGCAAGGAAAAAUCAGAACACAAAUAAAAAAGUGGUGUGA
Oreochromis aureus is the source of this 3723-nucleotide long non-coding RNA. RefSeq lists it as uncharacterized. The transcript is spliced from 4 exons. Lineage: Eukaryota; Metazoa; Chordata; Actinopteri; Cichliformes; Cichlidae. The record is from RefSeq and is a predicted model, not a curated record.